GUUGUUUAUAAAUACUACAGUGUGGCUUGUGACGCUGUUUGUCGAACGAUGCUUACAUUUAGUGUGAUCCUCGUUCUAGAUGAGAAAUAUAUUGCAACAUGUAUCUUGGUGCAAUCCAAGAAGCACGGAUGUCGUGACCUCGUUGUCACUGUCAAAGCGUUCAGUGACUAAGAAUGCUUUGGCGGGGCCUGUAUGACAACUGCGGUUUCAUGUCAUUUGCAAUGCAACCUGAGCUCAGUCGUGAUUACCCGCUGAACUUAAGCAUAUCACUU
This 272-nucleotide unclassified non-coding RNA is filed under the name Oesophagostomum stephanostomum. Its description in RNAcentral is "partial ITS2". The record is from RNAcentral. Lineage: Eukaryota; Metazoa; Nematoda; Chromadorea; Rhabditida; Strongylidae.